AUAAGUGGUGGGCAAGGCCGGUGCCAGCCGCCGCGGUUAUACCGGCGCCACGAGUGGCAAUCGCGAUUAUUGGGCCUAAAGCGUCCGUAGCAGGUCAAGUAAAUCUCUUGUGAAAUCGUCUCGCUUAACGUGACGAAUGGCAGGAGACACUGCUUGUCUUGAGACCGGGAGGGGUUAGAGGUAUUCACGGGGGACCGGUAAAAUGGGAUAAUCCCGUGAGGACCACCGAUGGCGAAGGCAUCUAACCAGAACGGAUCUGACUGUGAGGGACGAAAGCCAGGGGAGCAAACCGGAUUAGAUUGAUUUUUUGCCAAAAAAUCAAGUAAAAGCGGUUAAGUGCAACAUUUACUUCGUAAAGUUGCACGAACCACGUUUGCAGUAACAUCUACUGUGGUUACGCUUAAUUUCAUGGGCAAAUAAAAUCCUAAAGACCCGAGUAGUCCUGGCCGUAAACGCUGUGAGCUAGGUGUUGCACCUACCAUUGGUAUGUGCAGUAUCGAAACGAAGGUGAUAAGCUCACCGCCUGGGAAGUACGGUCGCCAGGCUGAAACUUAAGGCAUUGGCGGGGGAGCACCACAAGGGGUGCGGCGUGCGGUUUAAUCUAACUCAACGCAGAGAACCUCACUAGCGGCGACGGCAGAAUGAAGGUCAGUCUGAAGGGCUUGCCUGACCGGCCAAGAGGUGUUGCAUGGCCGCCGUCAGCUCGUGCUGUAAAGUGUCCUCUUAAGUGAGGCAACGAGCGAGACCUGUACCCACAAUUGCCAGCAGCUUUUAGGACUGGGAACGUUGUGGGGACUGCCUUGGAAACGAGGAGGAAGGUGCAGGCCACGGUAGGUCUGUAUGACCCGAAUCCGCUAGGCUACACGCGCGCAACAAUGGCAGCGACAAUGGGCUGCGACUCCGAAAGGAGAAGCUAAUCCUCGAAACGCUGUCUCAGUACGGAUUGAGGAUUGCAACUCAUCCUCAUGACGCCGGAAUCCCUAGUAAUCAGGUUUCAUCAUGGCCUGGUGAAUAUGUCCCUGUCUCCUUGCACACACCGCCCGUCAAACCAACCGAGCAGGGUUUAGGUAAAACCACACUUUCUUGGUGUGGCUGAAUCUAAG
This 1103-nucleotide ribosomal RNA is filed under the name uncultured archaeon. Its description in RNAcentral is "bacterial SSU rRNA". It matches the Rfam family "Archaeal small subunit ribosomal RNA", at positions 435 to 1413 of the family's 1478-position model. The record is from RNAcentral.